Long non-coding RNA from Plodia interpunctella (Indianmeal moth), 1658 nucleotides. RefSeq lists it as uncharacterized. NCBI's taxonomy places the organism in Eukaryota, Metazoa, Arthropoda, Insecta, Lepidoptera, Pyralidae. The transcript has 2 exons. The record is from RefSeq and is a predicted model, not a curated record.
AAAAAGCUAUAUACAGGAGUAUAUAGCCACUCCCACCAUAUCUUCCAUUUCGUUCACACUAGACAGAGAUAUGCGUUUUAUAAAUACAUGAGAAGAAACGCUGUGCGCUGACAUCUUUUAUACCUCAUCACGUGCACGUUCCCAAUCUGCCACUUUGUAUAGAUAGCCGGAUUGAGACAAAAAGUUGUAUAGAAAUUUUUGCUCUCAUUUGGUUACACUCAUUACAUAGUUUUCUAAAGCGGUGAUAAGAGUGGCGGUAAGAGUGAAGCGGUGGUGGUGUAAUGGUUAAGAUGGGCAUCUUAACCAUUACACCACCACCGCCUGUGAAUCGAAAGGUCUAAGUAUUUCAGAGAUGAAAUUGAAAAUAAUAAAUCAAAAAUGACACAAAUAAAUCUUGAACUAAAAAAAUGUGAAAAACGGCUAACGGCUGUAAAGUUAUUGACAUCGACUAUUCAACUACAACUGGAUAUGAUGAAGUUAAUGUAUCACGAUCUUAUGGAAUUGAGGGAAAUUAUGAAAAUUUUACAUCCACACCUACGGACCCCGAGGUAAAAAUUAAGGCCAAAGAAUAAAGAACUUUUAACAAAUUUAACUUCAAGGUUUUAUCCUUUGAAACUGUUUGAAAAAGUUUUUGAUUUUAUUUGCACCGCAUAGUGGCGUGUUUACUCGUACAGUUUCGUCAAACUUUGAGUAAUCUAUCAUGUAACCCUUAUUCUUGCUAUACUCAACCACUGGAACAAAGCGAUGACCCCACAUGACUUCACUCGCGAUGUAGCUGGACUUCGCCUGCACCGGCUGACCAGUUGACUCUAUAAUGCCUUCGAAGACAACAAGGAUUUCUAGUUCAUAUUUCAAAAUGUCACGAGCAGAGAAUGUGUAAAACGGACUGGUUUUAUCUAUUUUAUGAAGAGCAGUAAUCGGGAACAUAAAUGAGAAAUCCUUACUGGCGUCGACGUUCAACUUCAGCACCAUUUGCUCAUUACUAGGCGUGUCAUCUCCGGCAGUGACACACCUUAUUAGAUAAGCGCGAAUAUUACAAGCUAUGAUCCUGGAUUUCCUAGUAUUACCCACCCGAAAUAACAAACACAAGUUUCUGUCUCUAUGGUUGAUUAUGGCGUUUUUUGAAAAUAUAAUGGUAUUCACUCGAUUUUUGGGUCUCGUCAACUUGGCAAAUAGAAUGCCAACAAUGAAAGACUGUACCAUAGUUCCGAGAAUGCUUUCAAUGCACAUAGUGAACAUAGCUUCUGGACAUUCCAUCGUGAGAGCGCGGUUUCCGUAGCCGACAGUUGUGUGGACUUCAAUACUGAAUAGGAAAAUUGACGUGAUCCCAUAAAUUUUUCGGAUGCAGGGUUCCCACGAUGUGUUAUUUAAUUUAUUAGGUAAAUUUUCCUGGUCCAUAUCGCCGUGCAGGUACAAAAUCGACCAAUAAAUUCCAGUGAAGAAAAGCCACACUGACAUGUAGGUGAAGAGGCAGUAGAGCAGGGUCCACCGCCACCUGGCUUCCACGAAGGUAGUGACGAUGUCUGGAAACACAUGAAACGUCGAAGUUUUACAUUUCUCCAAAUUGAACUGACCACAUUUCUUGACCACUCUUUGCUUAGUUUUGCAUGUUUUCCCAUAUCUUGGGCAUCUGAAAUAAAUGUACACACAAGUCAAUA